This is a long non-coding RNA of Helianthus annuus (common sunflower), 2511 nucleotides long. RefSeq lists it as uncharacterized. The transcript is spliced from 2 exons. The record is from RefSeq and is a predicted model, not a curated record. Lineage: Eukaryota; Viridiplantae; Streptophyta; Magnoliopsida; Asterales; Asteraceae.
UGUAUUAAUUUGUAACUUAACCGAGAAACAGUAACUUCACGGUAACGGCGUUUGUAAAACCUACACACACAUUGCAGCUGACACCUCUCACCCUCUGUUUCCUCUCUCGAGCUCCGGCAACCGGAGCCGUAUUUCCGGCAACAGUCCUGCCAGCUCCGGUUUCUUCUCCGGCCGCACACCAACCUCCAACCUCCUGUCCUUCUUCUACCCCCUUGCACCGCCCACACAACACCCCCUCUUCUCGGGUAAACGGUCGGCCACCACCCUCGGGUGGUGGCGCACGACGACAAGAAUACGGCAGCAAGGGAGGGAACGAGAUGAGAGAGAGAUCGGCGAGAGAAAGGGGAGGCCGACCACCUCCCUCGUGGCGGCGCAAAGGCCGACAGGCGGCGAAUCCUCCUAUGGCGACCCAGAUUUCGGCAAUCGACGGCUGGGGUGCAGGAAUUCCGCAUCAGAUAAGGUUUCCGGUGGAAUUCCGACGACAAAGCGGCGGAGAUACAGUGGUACGGGGUGGUUUCGACGACUGACGAUAAGGAUUUAGUAAGUUUCUUCAUUUUCUUUUCUCUCGGGUAAACUUGUCAGCUUUACAAGUGCUAACCUAGCUUCCCCUGCAUUUUGGUUUUGUUGGUGUUGGCGCGGGUGGCUGACAACGGUGGUGACCGGAGGUCGUCGACGACAUAUAACUGCCGAAAUUUAACGGCAGUGAUAGUGGUGGCUAUUGUUAGGGUGUUUGGUUCAACACGGUUCCUGCGCGGAUUCGUUCCGGACUUCCGGUUCGGGUUCAGGUCAAGCGGGUCAGGUCAAAAGUGAUCGAACGACACACGGGUCAACCUUGGUAUCACGGGUCAAUUCAGGUUUCGGUUUUAGUCCGGGUCAGACACAGUCAACGCGAACAACUUUCGUUCAACUUCAGUCAACAAAAUUCAAUGUUCAAACUGCGGGUCAACAGCAGUCAACGCCGGUCAAAGCCAGACCCGGUAAAAAUUUAAACGAAGCGAAUUUUAAUUUCGUUGUUUAUACAUAUUAUACUUUACGCGAACCGAGCUUGAACCGAUGCCGCCGCGAAGCGGCGAAGGGAUCCUACUAGUUAUAUAUGAAAUGUAAAUGAAAUAAAAAAUAAUCUGUCAUCUUCUUCAAAUAUGCAUGUACGAAAUUUUAUAAUCAUAAGAUGAAAGGAGCAAUUGACAUGUUUAUGAAAGUGGAGGGUAGAAAGUGAAGAGAAUGAGAAGGAUGGAGGGCAUGUGAAUGAAGUUUGAUGAAAACGAGGGGAGAAGCAUCUACUUGGUGGGGUCCACAUGACAUUAUGGUUUGAUUUGUCUUAAACAAGGGGCCCACCAGUGAGGUGUAGUGGCGUAAAGGAAAGCGACGAAAGAAUCAGACAUAGGUGUGGAUGGGUGACUUUAACGCGUUUGUUUAAAGUUAAACCGCUCCUCCGUCAUAAGGCUAUGCGGUGAUAGUCCAUUUUUAGAGGAUGAUUCAUCACGUAGGAUAGGUGUAAGGAUGAGGCAAAGGGGAUGAAACUAAGGAAAUAGGGGAUAAGCCUAAAAUAUAUACAUGAGUUGUAUGUAUAUGUGUGUGUGAGGGGAGAAUGCAUAUUUUUUUGUCUUUUGUGGAGUGUCUCAAUCAUCCUAGGUUCGACGAUCUCGACAACGACAGGGAGGGGAGAAAUGGGUGGCGGAGCGGCACCGGGCCACAACGGGGGUGGGAUGAAGCCCACACCGUCUAGCCUAACUUCUGUUACUUUUUUUAACUGUUUUCUGUUACGGUUUAAAAAAACUAGAACUAGAAUUGAUCAUGUUCUGUUGCAUGGCUGUAGACGAGUCAAUGGAUUGGAUAUUGAUCCAUAUCCAAUCCGAUCCGAUCUAUUUAAAUCACCUAUUGGAUCAUAAAAAAUAUUCAUUAAUCUAUUAACUAAUCCAAUGAAUUGAUACAUUUAUCUAAUUAAUUAUAUGGAUCGAUCCAUGAUCCAUCCGGAUCGAUCCAUACUAAGAGAAUGUAUGGUUUACUAAAUGGACAUGUCUGAAUGGCAGGCCUCUUACUUACCCAUUCGAUCCAUCCCAGUUGAACGAUACUCUCUACCUCAUCAUCACACGUUCUCUCCCUCUCUCUCUUCAUUCUCUCUCUCCUCUUGUUUACACCUCACACUUCUGGUUCAUCUGCUUACAAAUCAUCAACGAAUAAACUUCAACUCAUUCACAGAUUAACACACAAAUCAAGCAAAAGUUCUUCAUUUUCAGGUCGUCAUUAUCAUACGAAUCACUUUUAAAAUCGAAGAAAUAAUCCAUCAUUCCACUUGUUCACACUAGGAAAUUCAGGUCUCAAAUAAACGCUGUCGCUGCUCAAUCUAACUUUUUCAUAGGUAUUUUAUAAACUUAGUUUCAAUUUCUGUUAGAAUUAUGUUGUUGGUAGUAUCCGAUUGUAUACGUUAAAUUAUGAAAUUAUUAUGUAGAUUGACUGUAUAAUAUGGUAGACUUUUGUAACAGAAUGAAAGAUGUGAAUAAUUGCUAUUAA